UACGUAGGGACCGAGCGUUGUCCGGAUUCAUUGGGCGUAAAGAGCUCGUAGGCGGCUGUUCAAGUCGAACGUGAAAUCUCGAGGCUCAACUUCGAGCUGUCGGUGGAAACUGUCUGGCUAGAGUCCGGAAGAGGAGAAUGGAAUUCCUGGUGUAGCGGUGAAAUGCGCAGAUAUCAGGAAGAACACCCGUGGCGAAGGCGGUUCUCUGGGACGGUACUGACGCUGAGACGCGAAAGCGUGGGGAGCGAACAGG
This 253-nucleotide ribosomal RNA is filed under the name uncultured bacterium. RNAcentral's name for it is "partial 16S ribosomal RNA". It matches the Rfam family "Bacterial small subunit ribosomal RNA", at positions 524 to 776 of the family's 1533-position model. The record is from RNAcentral.